This is a microRNA precursor of Oryza sativa Japonica Group (Japanese rice), 186 nucleotides long. It matches the Rfam family "MIR812 microRNA precursor family". Lineage: Eukaryota; Viridiplantae; Streptophyta; Magnoliopsida; Poales; Poaceae. The record is from Rfam.
UAUAAGUACAAUUUUGCACUAUUCACCUCCAACGUUUGACCAUUCGUUUUAUUUAAUUUUUUUUUUAUGAUUACUAUUUUUAUUGUUAUUAGAUGAUGUGACUAACUUUUUUUAAAUUUUUCAUAAAAUUUUCAAAUAAGACGGACGGUCAAACGUUGGACACGGAUUUUCAUUGCUGCAUUUAUU